Molecule: ribosomal RNA, 301 nt
Filed under: uncultured bacterium
Lineage: Bacteria
Description: partial 16S ribosomal RNA
Rfam family: Bacterial small subunit ribosomal RNA
Source: RNAcentral
CAGUAGCCGCGGGAAAACCGAGGGUGCAAGCGUUAAUCGGAUUUACUGGGCGUAAAGGGCGCGUAGGUGGUUAUGUAAGUGAGAUGUGAAAUCCCCGGGCUCAACCUGGGAACUGCAUCUUAUACUGCGUAGCUGGAGUGCAGUAGAGGGUAGUGGAAUUUCCGGUGUAGCGGUGAAAUGCGUAGAUAUCGGAAGGAACACCAGUGGCGAAGGCGGCUACCUGGACUGACACUGACACUGAGGCGCGAAAGCGUGGGGAGCAAACAGGAUUAGAUACCCCUGUAGUCCCUGUCUCUUAUAA